CAAUGGACGAAAGUCUGACGGAGCAACGCCGCGUGAGUGAUGAAGGUUUUCGGAUCGUAAAGCUCUGUUGUUAGGGAAGAACAAGUGCCGUUCAAAUAGGGCGGCACCUUGACGGUACCUAACCAGAAAGCCACGGCUAACUACGUGCCAGCAGCCGCGGUAAUACGUAGGUGGCAAGCGUUGUCCGGAAUUAUUGGGCGUAAAGGGCUCGCAGGCGGUUUCUUAAGUCUGAUGUGAAAGCCCCCGGCUCAACCGGGGAGGGUCAUUGGAAACUGGGGAACUUGAGUGCAGAAGAGGAGAGUGGAAUUCCACGUGUAGCGGUGAAAUGCGUAGAGAUGUGGAGGAACACCAGUGGCGAAGGCGACUCUCUGGUCUGUAACUGACGCUGAGGAGCGAAAGCGUGGGGAGCGAACAGGAUUAGAUACCCUGGUAGUCCACGCCGUAAACGAUGAGUGCUAAGUGUUAGGGGGUUUCCGCCCCUUAGUGCUGCAGCUAACGCAUUAAGCACUCCGCCUGGGGAGUACGGUCGCAAGACUGAAACUCAAAGGAAUUGACGGGGGCCCGCACAAGCGGUGGAGCAUGUGGUUUAAUUCGAAGCAACGCGAAGAACCUUACCAGGUCUUGACAUCCUCUGACAAUCCUAGAGAUAGGACGUCCCCUUCGGGGGCAGAGUGACAGGUGGUGCAUGGUUGUCGUCAGCUCGUGUCGUGAGAUGUUGGGUUAAGUCCCGCAACGAGCGCAACCCUUGAUCUUAGUUGCCAGCAUUCAGUUGGGCACUCUAAGGUGACUGCCGGUGACAAACCGGAGGAAGGUGGGGAUGACGUCAAAUCAUCAUGCCCCUUAUGACCUGGGCUACACACGUGCUACAAUGGACAGAACAAAGGGCAGCGAAACCGCGAGGUUAAGCCAAUCCCACAAAUCUGUUCUCAGUUCGGAUCGCAGUCUGCAACUCGACUGCGUGAAGCUGGAAUCGCUAGUAAUCGCGG
This 986-nucleotide ribosomal RNA is filed under the name Bacillus subtilis. Its description in RNAcentral is "bacterial SSU rRNA". It matches the Rfam family "Bacterial small subunit ribosomal RNA", at positions 369 to 1347 of the family's 1533-position model. Lineage: Bacteria; Bacillati; Bacillota; Bacilli; Caryophanales; Bacillaceae. The record is from RNAcentral.